Small nucleolar RNA from Rattus norvegicus (Norway rat), 121 nucleotides. Ensembl annotates it as small nucleolar RNA SNORA17. NCBI's taxonomy places the organism in Eukaryota, Metazoa, Chordata, Mammalia, Rodentia, Muridae. The record is from Ensembl.
ACCCUAGAGGCGCUGCAGGUCUGGCUGCAGUACCACUAGUGCAUCAGUAGGGGGCAGAGAGGAGAGAGGCAAUUUCUUUCUUUUUUUAACUUACUUGGAAAAGAGUUAUUUACUUUAUGUA